Molecule: transfer RNA, 30 nt
Filed under: Oncorhynchus gorbuscha (pink salmon)
Lineage: Eukaryota; Metazoa; Chordata; Actinopteri; Salmoniformes; Salmonidae
Also listed under: 1 other name
Description: partial tRNA-Arg
Source: RNAcentral
GCAGUUAGUCCAAAACAAGACCCUUGAUUU